Long non-coding RNA from Hyla sarda, 501 nucleotides. RefSeq lists it as uncharacterized. The record is from RefSeq and is a predicted model, not a curated record. The transcript has 4 exons. NCBI's taxonomy places the organism in Eukaryota, Metazoa, Chordata, Amphibia, Anura, Hylidae.
CUGAGGUCCAGUGCACUCAAUUUGUUACAGGUCUGUGUCUAGAGCAUUGGAGGCCUCAAGCCUAAAUUACUGCAGCCACCAGUCGGUCCUGAGUAAGGAUUCAGUUCACAUGUAAGGUCCUGCUGUCACCAUCCGGAUAUGAAACAGUGAUUGGAGACGCGAAGUUAGCGUCCCGGAGCUCCAUGAUCACGGGGGAACUUAUGAUUUUUUAGGGGAGGACUCUACCUUCAGCCCCUCCCCGGAAAACCCACUAGGAGAGGUGGGAGAAAACGCCAUAGGUCAAGGAAGAAGGGGAAGAACAACAAUCCCCGCUUUCAACACAGAAAGAAGUAGUGGACACUGUGAUCACCAUAUCUUCAUGUGCAUUGACAGAUACUCAGAAUUUGAAGUUAUGUGAAAAUGGAAGAUGCCCAUGCGACCGCUUUGGAUAAUUUUACUAUGAAUUCAGCUAAUAUUUAAUGUACAGUGUUGUAGUUAAUAAAGUGAUGGUGACAACUUAGG